CUACGGGUGGCACCAGUGGGGAAUUUUGCGCAAUGGGGGAAACCCUGGCGCAGCAAUACCGCGUGAGUGAAGAAGGCCUUUGGGUCGUAAAGCUCUUUUCUUGGGGAAGAUAGUGACGGUACCCAAGGAAUAAGCACCCGCUAACUCCGUGCCAGCAGCCGCGGUAAUACGGAGGGUGCAAGCGUUGGUCGGAUUUACUGGGCGUAAAGGGCACGUAGGCGGCACAGCAAGUUAAGGGUGAAAUCCCGGGGCUCAACUCCGGAACUGCUCUUAAAACUGCUGAGCUAGAGAUAGUCAGAGGCGGGUGGAAUUCCAGGUGUAGAGGUGAAAUUCGUAGAUAUCUGGAGGAACACCGGUGGCGAAGGCGGCCCGCUGGGGCUAUUCUGACGCUAAGGUGCGAAAGCGUGGGGAGCAAACGGGAUUAGAUACCCUGGUAGUC
This 439-nucleotide ribosomal RNA is filed under the name uncultured bacterium. RNAcentral's name for it is "partial 16S ribosomal RNA". It matches the Rfam family "Bacterial small subunit ribosomal RNA", at positions 339 to 795 of the family's 1533-position model. The record is from RNAcentral.